AAGACAAAGCUACUCACGGUAUAGGAAAGCCGGGGCGAGGAGAGCAACUGGGUCGCCUUCCUCCUGAUACCGGAAUUGUCAGGCCUAAUCUCCCAGCCAGGAACGGAUCCCAGGCUGCAGGGGCAGCGCUGAGCCCCGGCCACGAGACCCCCGCGGGUUGGCGUCUCACGAAGCCGCAGCAGGGACUUCGCAGACACUCAGGCGAGCAAGCGAGAAGAGGCGGGUUUGUUUAGAGAAAGAAAAAAUUUAUUGAGGAGAAAAAGAGCAGAAAUAAAGUGGGACUCCCGGGCCAGGAAACCAGGCCUGGGAGGGGCAAGGAAGCCAAAGUGGAGUCGGGUCUCAGGGAACACAGACCUUCUGUCCCUCAUUACUCUACAGCCCCACCCGGCUCUCUGUGAUGGAAUCUUUCUUUGGGCUGUCUGAGAUGGCUAAGAAGCAUUCUUUCUAGAGCCAGUAGAAAGCCUCAGAAGUGGCAAUAGUGGCAACACAG
Molecule: long non-coding RNA, 490 nt
Organism: Talpa occidentalis (Iberian mole)
Lineage: Eukaryota; Metazoa; Chordata; Mammalia; Eulipotyphla; Talpidae
Exons: 3
Source: RefSeq, a predicted model, not a curated record